This is an RNA transcript of Zingiber officinale, 2308 nucleotides long. RefSeq lists it as uncharacterized. The transcript has 10 exons. The record is from RefSeq and is a predicted model, not a curated record. NCBI's taxonomy places the organism in Eukaryota, Viridiplantae, Streptophyta, Magnoliopsida, Zingiberales, Zingiberaceae.
UUUCUUCAAUUGGCUGGUUAUCUCCAUCGUUGUGCGUCCGGCGACCUCAGUGCAUGAUCGCGGUGAGCUGGUGUGGAGCCGAUCCGGCGAGUAGGGAUGGCGUUGGCCGUUGACAGCGACGGGAGCGGGAGGGGAUUCGGCGGCGGAGAGAUACACGUGGUGGAGAUGGCGGCGGAGUCAUCUUCGGCCGUCGAUGAGGUCUCCCCCCUCCUGACGGCGGACGGCUCUGGAGAUGAGCGACCAAGGAUGACCAUAUUCUCCGUCUCCUAUCCCAGGAAGAAACCCGCCAAGGAAUCGGCAUAUAGCUCGACGGAUCCAGAAAUUAAUUUUCUUGUUCAGAUUGUCUCAUGGAUUUGGAGUGGCUCUAGGCAUUCUGGGAUUCUCUGCGUGUGUUCUUCUUCGAUUAUCUAUAGCAUUAUCGAAGUGUUGCUAGACAUUUUUCCAGAUAGAUCAUCUCCAGUAUAUCAGACUCUAUUUACUAGAUGUUCAAUCCUUUUCAUUGUUUCACUUCUAUGGUUGAGAAGGACUGGUCAUCCUCUUUGCAUUCCAACACAUGCAAAGACUAUACUACUGCUGAGAUCACUCACUGGGUCUGUUUCAUUGUUGAGCUUCAUCUAUAGUGUCCAAAAUCUACCUGUGUCCUAUGCAGUUAUGUUGAAUUUUGCAACCCCGAUCAUGGCAUCACUUGGAGCAAUAAUCAUCUUACGGGAGAAAUUGCCUCUUCCUUACAUUGGAGGUUUAGUUUGCAGUUUUCUUGGUCUAUUCUUGAUUUUUCAACCUGUGCUUCUUAUGGGAGGUGACAGUGUCGCCAAUGGAGAAAAGCAUGCCUUGUUUGCUAUUUUAAUUGGUAUAUUUUCAACAAUUCUGGGUGGAGUUAGCUACUGUCUUGUACGUGCUGGUGCAAAGGCAACGGAUCAACCCAUGUACACAGUUCUUUCAUUUGCAAUACUUGCUCUUCCUCUCUCAGCCAUACUCAUUUUGGUAAAUCAGGCUAGUCCAGCCCCCUAACCCAUGCCGAGUACAACACAGGACAACCAUGCCAAGACCCAUGCUUCAUUUAGGCAGCUGGAUCAAGCACCACCGCUUGACACCCCUAUUCUUGAGUUUCAUUUACUACAUAAUUAUCAUAAUUAGACUCAGUUAUCUGUUACUGGCCUUAGUUAACUUCUUUAGUUUAGGCGCAAUGAGCUAUCGCCAUUUAUUGUUACUAUUAUAUUCUUUUACUUUCACUCAACAGGCAAAAACGAACAAGGGUUUAACAUUUUCAUUCAUCACUCAACAGGCAAAAACGUUUCAAUAUACACAAGUUAAGCACGUCAAUUUUCUUUUAAAUCAAAUUAGAUCGAACAAGGGUUUCUAACAUCGUUUUAGUCCAAAUAGAUGGAAGUUCUAGCAUGUGCCAGUCUUGAUGCUAAACUGUUAUUAGGAGAUACUUAUAUGGCCCUUUUGUUAUCUAAACCAAUACAUGGGAAGAAAUUGUUUCCUUCAUGGACGAGAACAAUGAUGUAAACACGCUUACAAGAGUUAAUGAGGCCUGUUGUUUUCGCAGUAAACGCUAUGCCUUCGAGUAUCUUCUCUUUCGUAUUGACUUAACUUCAGUGUUAUUGAGUGGUUCUGCCUUACUGAGUAAGCAUAUUUUAAUUGCAAAUUGUAUCAAAUUGUAUUUCUUCUUAUUUAAACUCCAAUUCCAGGAAUUUGUUGUACCCGAUCUAUUCACUUUUCUCCUGGCAAUCACGCUUGGUGUCUUGGCAUUUCUUGCAGAGGUGCUUCUAGCUCGUGGGCUUCACCUAGACAAAAUAGCUAAAACUACAAACGUUCUUUACUUAAAGGUGCUUUUAUCGCAAAUGUGGAGCCUGACUUUCAAGGGGGCCUCUCCAACUUUAAACAAACUCAUUGGAUGUUUGCUCAUUUUGGCUUCCAUCUGCGGCACUUCCUAUAUUGCUCUGGAAAAGGAAAAUGAUUGAUUCAGGUUGCAUCAGUUGGAAACACCACUUAUUCAUCCAUUCUUUCAAUAAUGUAGUGUUUGAAAUUUGUAAUUGCCUUCUUGAAUUCGAAGGAAGUCGAAGAGUGAUUCCUAUGCUUACAUGCAUAUGCUCCAUCCAAAAUAACUUGUGAUUAAAUGCAUCAUAAUUUCAAUAGGUAUAGAUAGAUUCCCUAAGUCAUCCCCGAAGAGUUGAGGAAUUCCUCGUGGUAUAGAGGGUCGCCCUUGUAAAAUUACUGUAUUAGGGUCGACAAUUUGGGUUACUCAGACCAUUUGUAUCAAAUAAAAAAGUUCAACUAAAAUUAAUUAAAUUUCUUGUUAUGCGAA